RNAcentral lists this small nuclear RNA (22 nucleotides) under Arabidopsis thaliana (thale cress). RNAcentral's name for it is "snRNA_10590". Lineage: Eukaryota; Viridiplantae; Streptophyta; Magnoliopsida; Brassicales; Brassicaceae. The record is from RNAcentral.
UUCUAGCAUCUCCUAAAUCUUU